UGAGCGUGUUUGGGUUUGGAUUGCAUGC
This 28-nucleotide non-coding RNA is filed under the name Mus musculus (house mouse). Lineage: Eukaryota; Metazoa; Chordata; Mammalia; Rodentia; Muridae. The record is from RNAcentral.